AUUGAACGCUGGCGGCAGGCCUAACACAUGCAAGUCGAGCGGAUGAAGGGAGCUUGCUCCUGGAUUCAGCGGCGGACGGGUGAGUAAUGCCUAGGAAUCUGCCUGGUAGUGGGGGAUAACGUCCGGAAACGGGCGCUAAUACCGCAUACGUCCUGAGGGAGAAAGUGGGGGAUCUUCGGACCUCACGCCAUCAGAUGAGCCUAGGUCGGAUUAGCUAGUUGGUGGGGUAAAGGCCUACCAAGGCGACGAUCCGUAACUGGUCUGAGAGGAUGAUCAGUCACACUGGAACUGAGACACGGUCCAGACUCCUACGGGAGGCAGCAGUGGGGAAUAUUGGACAAAGGGCGAAAGCCUGAUCCAGCCAUGCCGCGUGUGUGAAGAAGGUCUUCGGAUUGUAAAGCACUUUAAGUUGGGAGGAAGGGCAGUAAGUUAAUACCUUGCUGUUUUGACGUUACCAACAGAAUAAGCACCGGCUAACUUCGUG
RNAcentral lists this ribosomal RNA (484 nucleotides) under uncultured bacterium. RNAcentral's name for it is "partial 16S ribosomal RNA". It matches the Rfam family "Bacterial small subunit ribosomal RNA", at positions 30 to 507 of the family's 1533-position model. The record is from RNAcentral.